CUUUCCGGGCAGCACCUGCAGAAGGUCCCCAGCAUUGAGUUAUUGCUCUGGGUUCAUCCCUUCCCUUCUCUUCCAUUGUGUGAAGUCCAUUAUCAGAUUCGGGGAAGCCAACCCGCGAGAACCGAGGCUGGUUCCCAGAGCUCAUUCCUUCCUAUGCCAGGCGGCCUGUUCUCACAGAGGAAAGUGAAAGGAGGUGGCCCCCUGGGGUAGUGGGGGCUGCGCAGUGCUUCUCAGCCUGGGGGAACCCCUUCCCCUGAGGACCUCUGGCCUCGUCUGGAGACAUCCUUGGUUGUCACGACUGCUAGGGGGUGGGGAGGAGCGGAGGUACAGGCAUCUGCUGAGCAGGGGCCAGGGAUGCUGCUAAACUUCGUGCGGUGCACAGGACGGCCCCACUGUGGAGACGAUCCAGCCGAGCAGUAGCACCAAGGCCGAGACCCGCGGUGGCUCGUCUGGCCACGCGGUGUGCUCCGUGGCAGCUGUCAGACCCCGUGAGGGUGCUUUUAUUACUGUCACCUGGAGAGAGCACAUUGGACAGGCAGCGGGCGCCCCCGUCCUGGCCUCCGGUGGCUGUGCAGCUGAGGUGGGACCUUGCAGGUGGGCUGGGAGUUAGAAUGGCAUCGUCCACACUCUGCCAGGAGGACCAGCUCAGACGCCGGAGGUAACGGAAAUCUUUGCAAAAGUCCAAAGUGCUUUACAAGCACCAAGUAGGUUUUUUUUUUUCUGGGUGGUUUUCAUCAACUCCUGCCCAAGGCCAUGCAAAAGGGUGGCAUCGAAGGGACCUCCGGCCUGGAACCCAACCCUUCCCCAUCAAAGCAGUUCCCAGCAGAGACAACACCAUUUGCAUGAACCACUUCUGACUGAGGCCGCACGUGUGGCUUGCAAGCUGUAGGCGUCCGGCCGCGAUUCAUGAGUGGCUUUGAUCACUGGGACCCCGAAGUGCUUCCCGCUUGGCUGCGGCACUGCCCCGCCAUCAUUUCCCCGCGGCAGGUCCACCGUCUGUACGUCAAUCACGACCCCCCUCUGCUCACUUUGAAAAGUUUCCUUUAUCUCGCUAGAAGCCUCUGGUUUCCUGGGAGCGGUCCACCUCUGAGAUGCUGUGCUGUUUUCGAGAUUGUUUGUCGUGUGUGUGUCCCUGGGAAGCUCGGUUCCAGGACGAGGAGCUCAUCUGGGACCCCCCAGCUCAUGCCUUAGGGCGUGAAGGCCAUGCUUUAGGCCGCGUGCAGCAGAGCGCGUCCAGACGGUGAUGGGAGACAGGCUGGCCCUGCGCGGACGUCGGCCAGACGGUGAGUCAGGACGAGCCUGAAUGCUGCUGCCGCAGCUUCUCCACGGGUUUUGUGGCCCAGCA
This 1345-nucleotide long non-coding RNA is filed under the name Felis catus (domestic cat). RNAcentral describes it as "lncRNA (ENSFCAG00000052611.1)". Lineage: Eukaryota; Metazoa; Chordata; Mammalia; Carnivora; Felidae. The record is from RNAcentral.